RNAcentral lists this ribosomal RNA (399 nucleotides) under Salmonella enterica subsp. enterica serovar Paratyphi A. RNAcentral describes it as "bacterial SSU rRNA". It matches the Rfam family "Bacterial small subunit ribosomal RNA", at positions 945 to 1344 of the family's 1533-position model. Lineage: Bacteria; Pseudomonadati; Pseudomonadota; Gammaproteobacteria; Enterobacterales; Enterobacteriaceae. The record is from RNAcentral.
UUUAGUUCGAUGCAUCGCGAAGAACCUUACCUGGUCUUGACAUCCACGGAAGUUUUCAGAGAUGGAAUGGUGCCUUCGGGAACCGUGAGACAGGUGCUGCAUGGCUGUCGUCAGCUCGUGUUGUGAAAUGUUGGGUUAAGUCCCGCAACGAGCGCAACCCUUAUCCUUUGUUGCCAGCGGUCCGGCCGGGAACUCAAAGGAGACUGCCAGUGAUAAACUGGAGGAAGGUGGGGAUGACGUCAAGUCAUCAUGGCCCUUACGACCAGGGCUACACACGUGCUACAAUGGCGCAUACAAAGAGAAGCGACCUCGCGAGAGCAAGCGGACCUCAUAAAGUGCGUCGUAGUCCGGAUUGGAGUCUGCAACUCGACUCCAUGAAGUCGGAAUCGCUAGUAAUCG